Molecule: long non-coding RNA, 4369 nt
Filed under: Prunus persica (peach)
Lineage: Eukaryota; Viridiplantae; Streptophyta; Magnoliopsida; Rosales; Rosaceae
Description: long non-coding RNA (PPER_LNC000402)
Source: RNAcentral
UAGUCUUCAUGUGGAUAUAAGAUAUCUUGCUUGCAGAUAAAUGCCAAGACAAGACAUGCACUUGAGAUAUAUUUGACCCCAAUAUAAAUAUAAUUAUAAUUAGUGAAAGUAGCUAAGAGCUAGCUAGCUAUGGGAAACUUGGGUAGGAGAAUUGCCAAGUGGAAGAGAAUGGUGAGGCAACAGAGAGGGAAGCUUUAUAUUACAAGGGUCUGCAUUUCUAUGCUUCUUGGUUGCCACAAGUACUCUUGAUUUGAUUUGUGGCAUCCAUUUUUCUCACCUCCCUUCCAUGAUGUUAGAACCCUAACUUUUUUUUUUCUUCUAUGAUUAUCGACAUUUCAUCGUAUACGUAACAAGUUUGAGGUGCUAAUCAGUCCAUGCAUGCAUGCCUGCUGAAGAUGGAACUGCUGCCAGACGGUCGUGCAUCGAUCAGAAGAUCAUGUCUUUAUUUAGGUGGUGAGAUUAAAUUUGUGGGUCCAUGAGACCCAUGCAGUCCCAAAAUGUAUGAAUAUUAAUUUGAGAUAUAUUUAUAUAGCCAGGUGCUUGCUGUGAAUUAAGAAGCAUGUCUGAUUGAGAGAGAGAGAGAGAGAGAGAGAGAGAGAGAUACCUAGUUUGCUGUGAAUUAGUUUGUUACUGCUGACUGAGUGUGCUGUAAUUUUGUGUUUUCAAUACUAGGUUAAUUACUGUGUAAAAUAAUCUUCUUCUUUUGCGGGCAAGGAACCAUCUAACAAAUGAAUUUUGGAUCUGCAGAGCUAUAUAUACAUGAAAAAUCCAAGUUUGAGGUAUUAAUUUAUAGUAAUAAUAUAAAUGUACAAAUUAAUGUUGUUAAUAAAUUUGAAUUUUGAACGAAUAUUCCAUCCAAAAGCUUCCUGAAAUUCUGGCAGAGCACUGGAUUUUGUCAAUCUAUCCUUCAACCUUCUUCAUCUGCACACAUAAACAGUGGGGACAAAUUACAGCUCCACAUAAUAGAGACAGGCCUAGGUGGGUUGGCCCUGAGAAAAGGAUAUAAGCGCUCCAAAACCAGUCCUUGAACAGGGAGGGAGACAAAGCUGAUGUGUCUGCCUUGUCAUCUUUGUUUCGGCGGGGCCUCUCCAUGUUAAUAGCUACCAACACUUGUUCACCCACCCUCUGAUGAUAUUGCCUGACCAUUAUUUCUCUAUAUAAAAAAGCAGCAAGCUGAGCUCAAGUUCCAUGAGCAAGUUAUCAACCAAAAUACAAGUGCCUCUCUGCCUGGACUGGACUAUAGUCCGGGAACAUGAAAGGACGGAUGUCCUCUGUUCUGACGCUGAAGCAGCUGUCGUGGGAUAAGUGCUCGAGGCUGAUGAGGGAACAGCGGACGCGGCUUUAUAUCAUGUGGAGGUGCACUGUCAUACUUCUGUGCUGGGAUGAGUGACAGGAAGAAGAGGGGUACGUACUUUACAAGGUUUAAUGAAGCUGUAGAUAUAUUGGGGAAGUUAAUUAACUGUUGAGGCAAGUAUGUGUUUGUGAUCUGUUGAGUUUUCUAUUCAAAUUUGAUACAAAAAGUUAGCAAGAAAAUCUACUUCUGCUCCUGCUGCUGCUGUGGCUGGGAUGACUUCUCUUUCCCCUUUUACUGUUCUUUCUAUUUUUUUAAUUUAAAGGAAGUCAUGACAACAAUUGGAACAAAAUCAAUGCAAUCCUCAACUGUGCCCCACGAUCAUUUCAUCUACUGACAUUGGUCUUCAUUUUGUUAAUUUUGUUGGAGGAGGUUUCGGGUUCAAAUCCCAUAAUAAACAAGGCAGGACCUUUGUUUUUUUGGUUCUAGAAAAAAUCUCUUCGUUCAAACUAAACUAGAAGAAGGGAACAAAUUAUCUUCAUGGUUUUUUCUUCCUUUUGUAGCUGGGCCAUGGAAUAAACCAUUGUAACCCUCAUAUUUCAAUAUUUCAGUGAAUUAGUAAGUAGAAAGGAAAAAUACUGUGAACUCUUGGAAAACAUAACUUAUUUGCGAUUCCAGAUACUGUUUUUUACAAAACAAAAAGUAGAGCCAACCUAAGAGGCAGCUCGAACCUAACAUAUAAUAUUAACCAAAAAAGAGUUUAAAUUAACAAGCUCAAUGAGCUAACGAACAUAAAAUCAUAUCCUAUCCAUCUAUGUAGAACCCCGCCUCUCCCUCACCAUCGAAAAAAAAAAGAUCAGAAAAACUUUUUGGUAGAUUGAAGUCAAAAACCACUUCCCUGAGGAGCAACAGGUUCAGGAUAUGACAAAUCAACUCGAUGAAUCAUCUCUUAUUUCGAAGAAGUGGUUCACCAGAAGCUCCUUGCAGCCUUGUGGAGGACAAAUCACCAGCCAAUAUCUUUGGGGCUAGUCCUUGCUUACUUUAGCCUGCCGAGUCCAUCAUCACAACAAGAUUAUACAUUAGUUAGCUUCGACCACUAGAUAUAACUUGAGUAUCGAAAAAACUGACAAAAAUUUUAACAGCAUAACAGCAGCCCAGCCCCAUCAUUUGAAGCCAUCAUCAAAGUUAGGUGUUCAGAAUAAGCAAACCAAACAUUUGAACGAGGAUACAAGCCAGUCACGAAGUGGAAUUAUAAUCAGGAAAUUUACUUGUCAUAUCAGUCUCUAUCCGUAUCAAUCAUUAAGUUAAAGGACAUAAUGCUCCAAAGUAGGCAUGCAUUACUGUGAUGACCUGAAUGAGGUGGCUAUCGAUAUCUCAUAUUAUGUAAGUGUUUCAUUCUCUAUACUUCCUUAUGGAAUCAACUGCAGCACCAUGUCAUAUAUAUAUAUAUAUAUAUAUAUACAGUCCCCUUCUAUUGAGGGAUCCCUCAAAUAAUUUUAUUUGAGGGACGCCCUUUAGAGUACCCUACAAUUCUUUUCCUAAUAAUCCAAACCAUCUAUUUUUUAGGUAUUCAUUCAUAGAUCAUCCUUACAAAAAAUUAGACAAAUCGGAAACCGUUUCGACAUCCAAUUGUGUCUUACAAAAUCAAUGAACACGGUGCUUUAAGAAAAGUACUAAAAUUUCAAUAACUCAAUUGAGUGGUCACAUGAUAUCGGAUUCAAGUGAUUUUUUGUAGAGAUGAUCUUUGAAUGAGUAUCUACAAAAUAGACGGUUUGGAUUAGUGAAAUACAAUCCGGAGUGGGGCCUACAAGAGGUGUCCCUCAAAUAAGCUUAUUUGAGGGAUCCCUCAAUGGAAGCUCUCUGUAUAUAUAUAUAUAUCUAUAUAUAUAUAUAUAUAUCUAUAUAUAUAAAGCAAAAGGCAGAGAAUGGUGAAACAUUCAAAAUACCAGAAAAUGCCUUUGGUUAAUGCAAACAUUAAGAAUUCAAAUUAUUAAUUAAAUGAGGAUAAGAUAGUAAAUUCACACUUUUUCAUAUUUAAAAAAAUUAAAAGAAAAAUAAAAAGCAGAUAAUGGAUCCUAUUUUUAUGGAACACAACUACCCAUUAUCUUUUUUAAUUCUAAAAUAAAUUUACUUAUUUUUUUUAAAAAACCUCUCGCAAGCGCGUGCAGAGAGGCUAGUAUCUAUAUAUAUAAAGCAAAAGGCAGCGAAUGGUGAAACAUUCAAAAUACCAGAAAAUGCCCUUGGUUAAUGCAAACAUUAAGAGUUAAAAUUAUUAAUUAAAUGAGGAUAAUAUGGUAAAUUCACAAUUUUUCAUAUUAAAAAAAUUAAAAUUAAAAGAAAAUUUAGAUAAUGGAUCCUAUUUUUAUGGAACACAACAAUCCAUUAUCUUUUUUAAUUCUAAAAUAAAUUUAAAUUUUUUUUAAAAAAAGCCUCUCGCAGGCGCAGAAGCGCGUGCAGAGAGGCUAGUAUAUAUAUAAAGCAAAAGGCAGAGAAUGAUAAAACAUUCAAACUACCAGAAAAUGCCCUUGGUUAAUGCAAAUAUUAAGAAUUGAAAUUAUUAAUCAAACGAGGAUAAUAUGGUAAAUUCACACUUUUUCACAUUUAAAAAAUUAAAAUUAAAAGAAAGAAUCAGAUAAUGGAUCCUAUUUUUAUGGAACGCAACUACCCAUUAUCUUUUUUAAUUCUAACAUAAAUUAAAAUUUUAAAAAAAAAAGUCUCUCGCAAGUGUGGAAGCGCGUGCAAAGAGGCUAGUAUAGUCAAAAUAAGGAUUUUUAAUUUUGAGAAACUUGAAUGAUAUGCAAUUAUAUUUAGAAAGGCCAAAAAAACCCAUCCCGCAUGCAAAGUCAAAUUAUAAACAUAAAUGUUGCUUGAAUGAUGCCCCCCCUCCCCACCCCCUCAAUUUAUGUCACUAUGCUGACAAAUGAAAAUAACAGAUUGAAAAUGGGUAAAUCAUUCUGUUCACUCACGGGUCCUUUGUGCGCAGUUAUCCUCCGAACUGAUGGAGCCCGUGCCACUGAUGAAGCAGCUGCAGCUGCGGCAACACGUAUCCUGCAAAGAAGAAGAAGAUCAAUCCGCUUU